GGUUGAUGAGGAUUCAUAUUAAGGCUUGUUUCUCAAAACAUUCGCAGUGGCCGCCUAAAGCUUUCGCCUUUCGCCAGGCUUGAGAGCUAAUGCAGCUUUUAUCCUUCCUUGGAUGUCUGAAACC
Molecule: small nucleolar RNA, 124 nt
Filed under: Arabidopsis lyrata subsp. lyrata
Lineage: Eukaryota; Viridiplantae; Streptophyta; Magnoliopsida; Brassicales; Brassicaceae
Description: snoRNA SNORD14
Rfam family: Small nucleolar RNA SNORD14
About the family: U14 small nucleolar RNA (U14 snoRNA) is required for early cleavages of eukaryotic precursor rRNAs.
Source: Rfam by way of RNAcentral